RNAcentral lists this ribosomal RNA (397 nucleotides) under Mataza sp. Its description in RNAcentral is "partial small subunit ribosomal RNA". It matches the Rfam family "Eukaryotic small subunit ribosomal RNA", at positions 582 to 975 of the family's 1831-position model. Lineage: Eukaryota; Cercozoa; Thecofilosea. The record is from RNAcentral.
AUUCCAGCUCCAAUAGCAUAUAUUAAAGUUGUUGCAGUUAAAAAGCUCGUAGUUGGAUUUCUGGCAUGAUGCGCCUGGCCCGCCGUGAUUACGCGUGUGUGUGCUAGUGCGCGUCUGCCAUCCAUUGGCAGAAUAUGUCUACCCUUAAUUGGGACGGAUAUGUGAUGUCAACCUUUUACUUUGAAAAAAUUAGAGUGUUUAAAGCCGGCAUUUGCUAUGAAUACAUUAGCAUGGAAUAAUAAUCUAGGACUUCGGUUCUAUUUUGUUGGUUUCUAGAUCUGGAGUAAUGAUUGAUGGGGAUAGUUGGGGGUGCUAGUAUUAAGGGGCCAGAGGUGAAAUUCUUGGAUUCUCUUAAGACUAACUUAUGCGAAAGCAUUCACCAAGGAUGUCUUCAUCA